AUUCACUCAUUCGUCUGUCUGAUGAAUAAGUGAAUAGAUGAAAUUCCCGUUUGCAUGUCCAGGUGUUUCACUGGGCAUGUGCGGGAAUCUCACAGUCUGUCUAGUGUGUCCCACAGGGACUUCAUCUACCCACACAAAGAUGGCUGCGCCCUGAAUAUAGAUUGGGGCAGAAAAUAAGGAUUAAAAAAUAGGUAAUGUGGGG
This is a non-coding RNA of Pelobates cultripes (western spadefoot toad), 202 nucleotides long. NCBI's taxonomy places the organism in Eukaryota, Metazoa, Chordata, Amphibia, Anura, Pelobatidae. The record is from the annotation of a GenBank genome assembly.